CCUACGGGCGGCAGCAGUAGGGAAUAUUGCUCAAUGGGGGAAACCCUGAAGCAGCAACGCCGCGUGGAGGAUGAAGGUCUUCGGAUUGUAAACUCCUUUUGUUAGAGAAGAUAAUGACGGUAUCUAACGAAUAAGCACCGGCAAACUCCGUGCCAGCAGCCGCGGGAAUACGGCGGGUGCACGCUUUACUCGGAAUCACUGGGCGUAAAGAGCGCGUAGGCGGGAUAGGGAGUCAGAUGUGAAAUCCUAUGGCCUAACCAUAGAACUGCAGUUGAAACUGUUAUUCUGGAGUAUGGGAGAGGUAGGUGGAAUUCUUGGUGUAGGGGUAAAAUCCGUAGAGAUCAAGAGGAAUACUCAUUGCGAAGGCGGCCUGCUAGAACAUAACUGACGCUGAUGCGCGAAAGCGUGGGGAGCGAACAGGAUUAGAUACCCGUGUAGUC
This 440-nucleotide ribosomal RNA is filed under the name uncultured bacterium. RNAcentral describes it as "partial 16S ribosomal RNA". It matches the Rfam family "Bacterial small subunit ribosomal RNA", at positions 338 to 795 of the family's 1533-position model. The record is from RNAcentral.